Molecule: microRNA precursor, 108 nt
Filed under: Marmota monax (woodchuck)
Lineage: Eukaryota; Metazoa; Chordata; Mammalia; Rodentia; Sciuridae
Source: RNAcentral
AUAUCCGUCAUCUGGGAAUCUUGCUAAAUACAGUUUCUAAUGCUACAGCAUGGGUUUGAGGUGAGUUCAGAGACUGCAUUUUCUAACAAGUUUCCAGAUACUGUUAAC